Long non-coding RNA from Monopterus albus (swamp eel), 170 nucleotides. RefSeq lists it as uncharacterized. NCBI's taxonomy places the organism in Eukaryota, Metazoa, Chordata, Actinopteri, Synbranchiformes, Synbranchidae. The record is from RefSeq and is a predicted model, not a curated record. The transcript has 3 exons.
ACUGAGGAGCUCAUUGCUUCCUCUGUCCAUUACCUGGCAUGACGUACCUGGAGGAAUAGACAGUGUGUGGGUGGAGCUGGAGCAAGAGCUGAGUGCUGACAUGACUGGACUGUGUGGCAUAUACAAUGUCUCAGGUAACAGGCAGCAGUUGAUUACAGAGAGCAUGAUUA